AUCUAUACUGUGAAACUGCGAAUGGCUCAUUAAAUCAGUUAUCGUUUAUUUGAUAGUACCUUACUACUUGGAUAACCGUGGUAAUUCUAGAGCUAAUACAUGCUAAAAACCCCGACUUCGGGAGGGGUGUAUUUAUUAGAUAAAAAACCAAUGCCCUUCGGGGCUCUUUGGUGAGUCAUGAUAACUUAACGAAUCGCAUGGCCUUGCGCCGGCGAUGGUUCAUUCAAAUUUCUGCCCUAUUAACUUUCGAUGGUAGGAUAGAGGCCUACCAUGGUAUCAAUGGGUAACGGGGAAUUAGGGUUCUAUUCCGGAGAGGGAGCCUGAGAAACGGCUACCACAUCCAAGGAAGGCAGCAGGCGCGCAAAUUACCCAAUCCCGACACGGGGAGGUAGUGACAAUAAAUACUGAUACAGGGCUCUUUUGGGUCUUGUAAUUGGAAUGAGUACAAUUUAAAUACCUUAACGAGGAACAAUUGGAGGGCAAGUCUGGUGCCAGCAGCCGCGGUAAUUCCAGCUCCAAUAGCGUAUAUUAAAGUUGUUGCAGUUAAAAAGCUCGUAGUUGAACCUUGGGCCUGGCUGGCCGGUCCGCCUCACCGCGUGUACUGGUCCGGCCGGGCCUUUCCUUCUGGGGAUCCGCAUGGCCUUCACUGGCUGUGUCGGGGAACCAGGACUUUUACUUUGAAAAAAUUAGAGUGUUCAAAGCAGGCCUUUGCUCGAAUACAUUAGCAUGGAAUAAUAGAAUAGGACGUGCGGUCCUAUUUUGUUGGUUUCUAGGACCGCCGUAAUGAUUAAUAGGGAUAGUCGGGGGCAUCAGUAUUCAAUUGUCAGAGGUGAAAUUCUUGGAUUUAUUGAAGACUAACUACUGCGAAAGCAUUUGCCAAGGAUGUUUUCAUUAAUCAGUGAACGAAAGUUAGGGGAUCGAAGACGAUCAGAUACCGUCGUAGUCUUAACCGUAAACUAUGCCGACUAGGGAUCGGGCGAUGUUAUUCUUUUGACUCGCUCGGCACCUUACGAGAAAUCAAAGUCU
RNAcentral lists this ribosomal RNA (1026 nucleotides) under Botryosphaeria corticis. RNAcentral describes it as "SSU rRNA". It matches the Rfam family "Eukaryotic small subunit ribosomal RNA", at positions 72 to 1106 of the family's 1831-position model. Lineage: Eukaryota; Fungi; Ascomycota; Dothideomycetes; Botryosphaeriales; Botryosphaeriaceae. The record is from RNAcentral.